UAAAGUUUCCAGAUGUUGUGUUCCUGCAAUAAGAAAUAAAGAUGUGGCCUUCCAGUUGUGUAAAGCCCAUCAAUGCUGUGUAAGUGCAUCGGGUGCGCUAAGGAACGUGGAGCCAAGUGGGCUAGUUGUGAGAGAGAGAGACUUAACUAUGUUAACAAAGGUAUCCAAACACUGGCCAAGUUCUUAAAUUGAAAGUAGAGUGAUCUAACUUAUUCAGCUCAUCCAACCAUCAAUAUUGAAUAUUUGUCUUUUUUCUUACACAUAUUUCUUGUAUUCCAGUUGUGACAUUCUAGAGCACAUGUGAGAAAAUCUAGUACUUUGUGUUCAACUCAGACUACCAAACCAGAAGUUCUAGCAGAAAAGGUGAUAAUCCAUAUGUGCAAUAAGAUCCCCAGGUGAUUCUUUUCAUUGGAGAAAUAUGAGGAACACUGCUUGACGUCUCUACAACUAAGAUGUCUAAAAUGAAACUUCAAUUAUUCCUUCUUCCAAACUUUUCCAUCCUGCAAAUCUUUUCUUCCUCAGUGAAUGGUGCCAUGAUUCACACAAAAAGUAACUCCAUGCAAAAACCUGGGAAUGAUCCUCAGUUCCUUCCUUUUGUUCACUUUCUGCAUAGACUGCAUCAU
Molecule: long non-coding RNA, 623 nt
Organism: Mesoplodon densirostris (Blainville's beaked whale)
Lineage: Eukaryota; Metazoa; Chordata; Mammalia; Artiodactyla; Ziphiidae
Exons: 3
Source: RefSeq, a predicted model, not a curated record